AGUCCGAGCCUCCCCCUGGGAGAGGCCACACACUCGGCCAGCUCCUCAGAGUCUGAGCAAGAACGCCUGGCUCAGAAUGCGAGGCUGGAGCGUCCACGAGGGACCGCCCUUCCGGCUUCCUCCUGUUUUACCAACGAGGAACUCCAGGCCUGUGGUGCGUGGCGGCCCGGAGUUCACUGCCGUCGAGUUUCGGUGUCUGAACUGGAUCUCGGUUCUCCUGCUGCAAAGUGCUCCCUUCGCUAUGGGAGCCAUUGGAGAGUUAAACACAGGGGAACGGCAUGCUACAGUCUCUUCACUCUCACCAAACACGCUGUUGUGCAUGAAUGUGGAAGCCGACCCUAAAUCUCUGGAUCACAGUAUCAUAUGCAGGGGUACCAGUGGCUGGGUGAGUAUAGGAUCUGAGCCUUGGGAUGCCUCAUCCCUCUCUCAUUCUUUCCUUGUCCUCCUUGUGGUAGCCUCUACCAGGGAGCUAGACUGCUCAGGCCCAGGUUGUAGGAGGGACCAUAUCCCUCUGUACCAAGUGAGGUCAGAAAAGACACCCAGUUCUCCUCCUUCCAUACUCCCCAACAGCACAGGACUACAGAUGGGCCUGCCCAUGUUCCACCUACUCCCUGAAAGAGGUCUUCCCGCCCGCCCCCCUGCCAGUCCCCUGCUCCAAAAUUUCACUAAAUGGAUUUGCUAUAGUCGGAUGUUUUUCUACAUAGUAUUUUUUUUUUUUUUUUUUUGAGACAGGAUCUCACUCUGUUGCCUGGGCUAGAGUGCUGUGCCAUUGGCCUAGCUCACAGCAACCUCAAACUCCUGGACUCAAGCGAUCCUCCUGCCUCAGCCUCCUGAGUAGCUGAGACUACAGGUGUGCACCACUGCAUCCAGCUAAUUUUUUUCUACUUUUAGUACAGACAGGGUCUCAAUCUUGCUCAGGCUGAUUUUGAACUCCUGAGCUCAAGUGAUCCUCCUGCCUCAGCCUCCCACAGUGCUAGGAUUACAGGUGUGAGCCACCGCGCAGGGCCUUGCAUAAUAUAUUUUGACUCUGUAUUAAAUGAUGUUUAUUCUUUGGAAAUAAGCCUCUGGUGUAUAAAUGUUAAGGACAGUUUUCUCAAGGCUUAAAGUGGAGAAUGAGACCUGUUCAUGCCUGGAUGGAAUUACUGGAAAGGGAAGUUCAAAGAGAGAGUUCUGCUUUGACAAGAGGAUUCUUGGAAAUAUGAUUUUGCUCCAAAAAUAUUUUACUUCAGGAGGAAGAACUGACACUAUUCCAGAAGGAAGUGCACUAUUUAGAAACUCUGGGGAUGGACAAAUGGGGAUGUCUGAUUUUAUAGUUUACAGCAGAGUAGAAGAAAGAUACCAUUAAUCUAUUUUUAGAAAUGCAAUUUUCAUUUGAAACAAUUAUGCAGAGACUG
This 1394-nucleotide long non-coding RNA is filed under the name Microcebus murinus (gray mouse lemur). RNAcentral's name for it is "lncRNA (ENSMICG00000048655.1)". The record is from RNAcentral. Lineage: Eukaryota; Metazoa; Chordata; Mammalia; Primates; Cheirogaleidae.